CUGUUCCCUGGUAACUGGCGAUAAGAGUGGAAGAACCACAAGGGAGCCUGGGAAUAAGCAGUAAACAGUCGCUCGCCUGGGCUGCUUCA
Molecule: non-coding RNA, 89 nt
Filed under: Ktedonobacter racemifer
Lineage: Bacteria; Bacillati; Chloroflexota; Ktedonobacteria; Ktedonobacterales; Ktedonobacteraceae
Also listed under: 1 other name
Description: ZTP sequence
Rfam family: ZMP/ZTP riboswitch aptamer (pfl RNA motif)
About the family: Previously known as pfl RNA.
Source: RNAcentral